Molecule: ribosomal RNA, 104 nt
Filed under: Eimeria acervulina
Lineage: Eukaryota; Apicomplexa; Conoidasida; Eucoccidiorida; Eimeriidae
Description: large subunit ribosomal RNA
Source: RNAcentral
UUUGUAGAAUAAAAUUCCUUCAUAUUGACUAUGCUGACUUGAGUAACGGAAAUUGAAUAGAUUCAGCUAUCCAUGGUGAUAAGAUUCGUAAAUACCGGUCAUUA